This 495-nucleotide long non-coding RNA is filed under the name Citrus sinensis (sweet orange). RNAcentral describes it as "long non-coding RNA (CSIN_LNC005600)". Lineage: Eukaryota; Viridiplantae; Streptophyta; Magnoliopsida; Sapindales; Rutaceae. The record is from RNAcentral.
AUCACAUAGACUUGUAUUAGGAUAAUUAUACCCUUUGACUGUAGUGAUUUCAUCUUGGCAUAUUUAUCAAAAUGGGUAUUUUCCCUUUCAACUACUCAUCACACGAGCUUUAACCUUCCACCAGUGAUCUGUUGAGGCCGAAUGAUGAGCGGAGGAUAGCGUGUUUGCCUUAUUCUUGCUUCAAGGUGAAGCAGAUUAUUGGUGGCGGGAUUAAGCUCGUCUGAUAUUGCAACCAAUUACAUGGAAAAUGUUUGUGAAUGGCUUGAAUCAUUGAGAUAUCAUUCUAUUAUCUCCGUGUGUUUUCAUAAGCAAAAUUGGGAUGUUAAUAGUGGUGUCGUAGCAGGAAAUUGAACAUGCAUGAUUCCAGCAAGUCCCUUUGAGAUCCCGUCCAGUUGUUGCAGCCCAGAUCCCACCAUCAAAUCAGGUCAAAUUACAAGAUAUACCUACCUUAUGGAUUAACUUUCAUGUCUUUUAGUUUGAGAUCUAGUGAGUACA